Molecule: ribosomal RNA, 457 nt
Filed under: uncultured Pseudomonas sp.
Lineage: Bacteria; Pseudomonadati; Pseudomonadota; Gammaproteobacteria; Pseudomonadales; Pseudomonadaceae
Description: bacterial SSU rRNA
Rfam family: Bacterial small subunit ribosomal RNA
Source: RNAcentral
ACAAGCGGUGGAGCAUGUGGUUAAUUCGAAGCAACGCGAAGAACCUUACCAGGCCUUGACAUGCAGAGAACUUUCCAGAGAUGGAUUGGUGCCUUCGGGAACUCUGACACAGGUGCUGCAUGGCUGUCGUCAGCUCGUGUCGUGAGAUGUUGGGUUAAGUCCGUAACGAGCGCAACCCUUGUCCUUAGUUACCAGCACGUUAUGGUGGGCACUCUAAGGAGACUGCCGGUGACAAACCGGAGGAAGGUGGGGAGUGACGUCAAGUCAUCAUGGCCCUUACGGCCUGGGCUACACACGUGCUACAAUGGUCGGUACAAAGGGUUGCCAAGCCGCGAGGUGGAGCUAAUCCCAUAAAACCGAUCGUAGUCCGGAUCGCAGUCUGCAACUCGACUGCGUGAAGUCGGAAUCGCUAGUAAUCGUGAAUCAGAAUGUCACGGUGAAUACGUUCCCGGGCCUU